This 253-nucleotide ribosomal RNA is filed under the name uncultured bacterium. Its description in RNAcentral is "partial 16S ribosomal RNA". It matches the Rfam family "Bacterial small subunit ribosomal RNA", at positions 524 to 776 of the family's 1533-position model. The record is from RNAcentral.
UACAGAGGGUGCAAGCGUUAAUCGGAUUUACUGGGCGUAAAGCGCGCGUAGGUGGCCAAUUAAGUCAAAUGUGAAAUCCCCGAGCUUAACUUGGGAAUUGCAUUCGAUACUGGUUGGCUAGAGUAUGGGUGAGGAUGGUAGAAUUCCAGGUGUAGCGGUGAAAUGCGUAGAGAUCUGGAGGAAUACCGAUGGCGAAGGCAGCCAUCUGGCCUAAUACUGACACUGAGGUGCGAAAGCAUGGGGAGCAAACAGG